Molecule: ribosomal RNA, 130 nt
Organism: Erinaceus europaeus (western European hedgehog)
Lineage: Eukaryota; Metazoa; Chordata; Mammalia; Eulipotyphla; Erinaceidae
Source: Ensembl
GUCUACGGCCAUAACAUCCUGAACACACUCGAUCUUAUCUGAUCUUGGAAGCUAAGCAGGGUCGGGCCUGGUUAGUACCUGGACAGGAGAAAGUAAUCUAGAGUGAUGGUGAGAUCUGGCUCAACAAACA